Long non-coding RNA from Etheostoma spectabile (orangethroat darter), 93 nucleotides. RefSeq lists it as uncharacterized. The record is from RefSeq and is a predicted model, not a curated record. NCBI's taxonomy places the organism in Eukaryota, Metazoa, Chordata, Actinopteri, Perciformes, Percidae. The transcript has 3 exons.
GGUUGGGUUUAGGAAAGAAGAAAGGGGAAAGGACACGUCACACGCCGGGACAUGAUCCGCGGUCUCCGGUGGUGCAAGGACAUGAUGCCCUGG